Molecule: non-coding RNA, 645 nt
Organism: Danio rerio (zebrafish)
Lineage: Eukaryota; Metazoa; Chordata; Actinopteri; Cypriniformes; Danionidae
Source: RefSeq, a predicted model, not a curated record
AUAACUUAAAACCAAAAUUAUUAAAUCAGCAUUUUCACAUGUCAUGAAUACUGCUUUUUUCAUUGUUUUCCCAUUCUUUUCAUCCCCCACAUAAAACACAUAGUCUCCCCCGGGUGCCCACCCACUCAGCGCAUGCGCAGCGCAUCACUGUGCAUAAAAUGCUGCGCAUGACCUUUUUGGCCCCUUUUGCCUCCCGUAGCCGCGAUUGCGCAACCCGGAAGAGAGACGCAACAGAAACGCAACGAGACGAACAAACACAAACACAAACGGACACACAGCGCAAUCUCCCGUGUGCACCCGGUAGAUCGGCUGGUGGAGUGAAGAUCUUUGCAUGCAGACAAGGUUAGCGAACAGGACAGGCCAGGACGGGACAGUACCAGAUCCGGAUAUUCCUCCUUGGAUUAUGAGAUGAAACACCUUGAUAUGGAGAGCAAUAUUAGCGCACCAUCUGGUGGGUGGCGUCCUUCGCUGUUGACUAAUAUUUCUCCAUAGAAAAAUAUAGAGCAGAGGCGUAGCGAUGUGAAGGACGUGCAGAAGGAGGAGAGGAGGAACGAAUGGAGCGAAUGAGGGGGGCAAAGGAGGUAAAAUCUGUGCCUUCGGUCUGAAAGCUUGGCAACACGUGCAGCAAAUAAAUUCAUCACCCAG